UACGUAGGGUGCAGGCGUUAAUCGGAAUUACUGGGCGUAAAGCGUGCGCAGGCGGUUUUGUAAGCCAGAUGUGAAAGCCCCGGGCUCAACCUGGGAACGGCGUUUGGAACUACAAGACUAGAGUGCGUCAGAGGGGGGUGGAAUGCCGCGUGUAGCAGUGAAAUGCGUAGAGAUGCGGCGGAACACCGAUGGCGAAGGCAGCCCCCUGGGAUGACACUGACGCUCAUGCACGAAAGCGUGGGGAGCAAACAGG
RNAcentral lists this ribosomal RNA (253 nucleotides) under uncultured bacterium. RNAcentral describes it as "partial 16S ribosomal RNA". It matches the Rfam family "Bacterial small subunit ribosomal RNA", at positions 524 to 776 of the family's 1533-position model. The record is from RNAcentral.